CCUACGGGUAGCAGCAGUGAGGAAUAUUGGUCAAUGGGCGGGAGCCUGAACCAGCCAAGUCGCGUGAGGGAAGAAGGUACUGAGUAUUGUAAACCUCUUUUGCCAGGGGACAAAGGCGGCCACGGGUGGCCGUAAGAGGGUACCUGGAGAGAAAGCAUCGGCUAACUCCGUGCCAGCAGCCGCGGUAAUACGGAGGAUGCGAGGGUUAUCCGGUUUUAUUGGGUUAAAAGGGUGCGCAGGCGGCGUGUCAAGUCAGCGGUAAAAUGUAGGGGCUAAACCGCGGCCGGCAGUUGAAACUGGCAGGCUCGAGUUGGAUAGAAGUAUGCGGAAUUCGUGGUGUAGCGGUGAAAUGAAUAGAUAUCACGAAGAACCCCGAGUGCGAAGGCAGCAUACCGGCUCCACACUGACGCUGAGGCACGAAAGCGUGGGUAUCGAACAGGAUUAGAUACCCGAGUAGUC
This 459-nucleotide ribosomal RNA is filed under the name uncultured bacterium. RNAcentral's name for it is "partial 16S ribosomal RNA". It matches the Rfam family "Bacterial small subunit ribosomal RNA", at positions 338 to 795 of the family's 1533-position model. The record is from RNAcentral.